CCUACGAGAGGCAGCAGUGAGGAAUAUUGGUUAAUGGGCGCUAGCCUGAACCAGCCAAGUAGCGUGAAGGAUGACUGCCCUAUGGGUUGUAAACUUCUUUUAUAUGGGAAUAAAGUGCAGUAUGUAUACUGCUUUGCAUGUACCUUAUGAAUAAGGAUCGGCUAACUCCGUGCCAUCAGCCGCGGUAAUACGGAGGAUCCGAGCGUUAUCCGGAUUUAUUGGGUUUAAAGGGAGCGUAGGCGGGUUGUUAAGUCAGUUGUGAAAGGUUGCGGCUCAACCGUAAAAUUGCAGUUGAUACUGGCAUCCUUGAGUACAGUAGAGGUAGGCGGAAUUCGUGGUGUAGAGGUGAAAUGCUUAGAUAUCACGAAGAACUCCGAUUGCGAAGGCAGACUGCUGGACUGUAACUGACGCUGAUGCUCGAAAGUGUGGGUAUCAAACAGGAUUAGAUACCCCAGUAGUC
RNAcentral lists this ribosomal RNA (460 nucleotides) under uncultured bacterium. RNAcentral's name for it is "partial 16S ribosomal RNA". It matches the Rfam family "Bacterial small subunit ribosomal RNA", at positions 338 to 795 of the family's 1533-position model. The record is from RNAcentral.